AAGAACUUUGAAAAGAGAGUUAAACAGUACCUGAAAUUGCUGAAAUGGAACCGAUGGGAAGCAGUGUUGGCUUGUUGGUACUUGUACCCGUGAGCAAGUCAGGCUUCCUUAGUUGCGUGGGAAAGGCUUCUAGACCUGUAUGGGCUGGUUUUGCUGUCAUGCGACUGAGGGACUCUGACGAAAUGCUUCUUAUCAACCCGUCUUGGAACACGGACCAAGGAGUCUAACAUGUAUGCGAGUUGGUGGGUGGAAAACCCAUGAAGCGCAAGUAACCUGACUGGUGGGAUGGCCUGUGCCUGCACCAUCGACCGACCAUGAGCUUCUGCGAAAGGUUUGAGUGCGAGCAUACCUGUUGGGACCCGAAAGAUGGUGAACUAUGCCUGAGCAGGGUGAAGCCAGAGGAAACUCUGGUGGAGGCUCGUAGAUGUGCUGACGUGCAAAUCGCUUUUCGGACUUGGGUAUAGGGGCGAAAGACUAAUCGAACCAUCUAGUAGCUGGUUCCUCCCGAAAUUUCCCUUAGGAUAGCUGCAACCGAACAGUUUUAUCAGGUAAAGCUAAUGAUUAGAGGCAUCAGGGGUGGAACGUCCUUGACCUAUUCUCAAACUUUAAAUGGGUAAGAGCCCUGGGUUGCUUAAUUGAACCCGGCGGUUGAAUGACGGUUGCUAGUGGGCCAAUCUGGGUAAGCUAGAUUGGCGAUGCGGGAUGAACCGAACGUUUAGUUAAAGUGCCAAAGUAUCCGCUAACCUAGAUCCCACAAAAGGUGUUGGUUCAUUAAGACAGCAGGACGGUGGCCAUGGAAGUCGGAACCCGC
Molecule: ribosomal RNA, 811 nt
Filed under: Blepharisma japonicum
Lineage: Eukaryota; Ciliophora; Heterotrichea; Heterotrichida; Blepharismidae
Description: partial Eukaryotic large subunit ribosomal RNA
Rfam family: Eukaryotic large subunit ribosomal RNA
Source: RNAcentral